GGUGAGUAACACGUGGAUAACCUGCCUCGAAGUGGGGAAUAACCCCGGGAAACCGGAGCUAAUACCGCAUAUUCUGAUGAAGUCUGCGGAUUUUGUCAGGAAAGGAGCAAUUCGCUUUGAGAGGGGUCCGCGGCUGAUUAGCUAGUUGGUGAGGUAAUGGCUCACCAAGGCCACGAUCAGUAGCCGGUCUGAGAGGACGGUCGGCCACACUGGAACUGAGACACGGUCCAGACUCCUACGGGAGGCAGCAGUGGGGAAUUUUUCGCAAUGGGGGCAACCCUGACGAAGCAACGCCGCGUGGGUGAUGAAGUAUUUCGGUACGUAAAACCCUUUCGACGGGGACGAAACCGCAAGGUUGACGGUACCCGUAGAAGAAGCCCCGGCUAACUCCGUGCCAGCAGCCGCGGUAAUACGGGGGGGGCAAGCGUUGUUCGGAAUUACUGGGCGUAAAGGGCGCGUAGGCGGUUCGCUAAGUUGAAUGUGAAAACUCUGGGCUUAACCCAGAGCCUGCAUCCAAAACUGGCGAACUGGAGUACUGGAGGGGAAAGCGGAAUUCCUGGUGUAGCGGUGAAAUGCGUAGAUAUCAGGAGGAACACCGGUGGCGAAGGCGGCUUUCUGGACAGUAACUGACGCUGAGGCGCGAAAGCCGGGGGAGCAAACAGGAUUAGAUACCCUGGUAGUCCCGGCCCUAAACUAUGGAUACUUGGUGUGAGGGGGAUUGAAUCCCUUCGUGCCGU
RNAcentral lists this ribosomal RNA (737 nucleotides) under uncultured Bacillota bacterium. RNAcentral describes it as "bacterial SSU rRNA". It matches the Rfam family "Bacterial small subunit ribosomal RNA", at positions 105 to 849 of the family's 1533-position model. The record is from RNAcentral. Lineage: Bacteria; Bacillati; Bacillota.